AGUGGUCAUCAUCCAAACAAUAACGAUUCUGCUCUGCCCUUCCAGAUGUCAGAAUGUUAUAAAGCAUGGAUUAACAAACACUGAUGUCUCUCUACAGACCUUCCUUGUGAACUGAAAACUCUGGUGCUCCACAGCUGACACACGUACCCCACCAGGUGGACUCCAGUGCUGCACACUCAUCCAAGGCGAUGCACACAGAAUAAGCACAAGGCAAUGAGCACAGCAGAUAGACCAGAUUUUCUAAAGGUGGCUAUUUCCCAGCUAUUUCCCUUCUAAAAACCUACCUGGUGCUAAGAAGUGCUUUGGCUGGGAGGGUUUGAGCUCUGGUUGUCAAAACUCCUAGCUGAAGGAAGACUGUU
This 359-nucleotide long non-coding RNA is filed under the name Taeniopygia guttata (zebra finch). Its description in RNAcentral is "lncRNA (ENSTGUG00000021796.1)". Lineage: Eukaryota; Metazoa; Chordata; Aves; Passeriformes; Estrildidae. The record is from RNAcentral.